CUCUGUGGUCAUGCUCACAAUCACCUGUGUUGUUUUCAGGGCUGCCCUUUCUGUGACAUGCUGGCUACGGCAGCGUUCUGCAGUCAUAAACUCACUGGGGUGCUCCAGCUUUGGGCAUCAUCAGAACAGCACAGCACUAGGUCAGAACUGACAUGUUCCAAACAUUCCUCCUGCCCAGUGUCAAGUCCUUCUAUUGAGCAGGACUUUUUAAGGACAAAUUUCAAACACGGGUAUAACACAGGAAAAUAUUUUAAGAGAGAAGUGGGGCAUAUACACUGUAGAAAGAGGAAAGAAAAAGACUGAGAGGACAUUGAAAAAUUAACUUCCUCAAAAGGUACUUCAUAAGUUCAAAAGCUCAAGGCAAAACAUUCCUGGGAGAGAUUCACCAAGUGGGAGGAAGAAAGAGCAAAAUGCAGACACAGCUGAUCCUCAGUGAAUUGAAGCUUCCCCCAAAGGCUGUCACAAACAGGGACAUACACAUUUAGCUUUGCUGCUUGGCAUUCUUCUUCCUUAUGCAUCAUAUACUAAUUACCUCACCAGUCUGCCUGCAACAUUUGAUUUGGCAUUUUUCCUGCUUCUUUCUUGUAAAUUUACAUCAGAGAAGAGAUAGAGUGAAAUUGUUAAUGAAAAUGUAUCCACAGGUGUUUUUCCAAAGGAAGGGAGCAGGACUAGCGUGUGAAACAGAUACCGCUUUUAGAUUUCCUUUUACCACAUUAUCAUUUAGUUCUGAACCCCACUAAUUUGCAUAGGCAAGAGGAUAAAAGCAGCAACAAACAUCUCAGCUGGUUCUGAAUUUUCCCCCACAGAUAGAGAUAUAUAUCUGCUGUUCCUUUCUCUGUGUGAUUCUCUGAGGAAACAGACAGCAUGGUGUUUGCUCGCCGCUCUUGGUUCUUCACAGUGGCAUCCCAGAAAGAGGAUUCCCCAAUGAACCAAGGCACAGUGGGUGGGAUUUCUUUGCGAAAACUUCUCUAGUGCCGAGCUGUUGUAUAGAAAGAGGGACUUAGCAGUAAAGGAAUGAGAUUAAUCAGUGAUGGACACAAUGGAGCUGGGUUAAAGUUUGGCCUCUACAAUCUUAGUCCCUUUCCUUAAUGACACAGCCUUAAUGAUGCUGUGAUUCUGUGAAUUGUGGCCUUACACUAUUUGAUGUUUGGGCUGAUUUUUGUGUGAUGGAGUCCCCCACAUAAUGACCACUGCAUGCUGGAGCAAUGAGGAGAAGCCAAGAGCAACCAACAGCUGAGAGGAAACAAAGGGGUUAUCACACCAAGUUGGAAGGGACCCACAAGGAUCAUUGAGUCCAGCUCACAGCCCUGUGCCUGAGAGUGUUGUCCAAAUGUUCCUGGAUCGCUGGCAGCACUGGGGCUGUGACCAUUACAUGGAGAGCCUGUUCGAUGCCCCAACACCUUCAUGGUGAGGAACCUUUCCCUGAUAUGCAACCCUUUGAUUUUUAUGUAGGUACCUGUCUUAUCCCACAUCUAAAGCAAAUUAGUAGUUCAAUGAAUGGGAGACACCCUACAGCAGUAAGAUGGAUAUGAACAGAGAAGGAUGCAUGAGAAGGUCAGCUCUAAGCUGAUGUGCUGCUUGGGAAAAAGGUGCAUUUUUUUCCUCACUGAGUUAGGAGGCACCUUUUUACCAGGCAGUGGCAACACACAGGACAACACCUAAAUAGAAAAUAAAUAUUUUUAUUUUUUAUUUAGUAAACAUAGCAACAGGGAUGGGUGGCUGUUCAGUGAUCACUCACUGAUGUGAGCUCACCAGUCUGUCUAAAGUGCCCUGCUUUUGAAAGCUCAGUGUAUGAAUGUGCAUAGUUGGAAAAAGAAAUUUCUUUGGUCUUUAAAUUUUUUGUUUUUAUUUUGUCCUUAGCUCAAUGUACAGACAUUCAAAAUUCAGUGCUCCAUUAGUAAUUUCUCCAAUUUUCUAUUUGGAAGGUUAUUUUUUUGCUUUCUGACCAAAAGAUUUUAUUUUUGUUUACCUGCCACAAUUUGCUACUUAUGACUACUCCAAAACUUUUC
Non-coding RNA from Taeniopygia guttata (zebra finch), 2009 nucleotides. Lineage: Eukaryota; Metazoa; Chordata; Aves; Passeriformes; Estrildidae. The record is from RefSeq and is a predicted model, not a curated record.